RNAcentral lists this ribosomal RNA (740 nucleotides) under uncultured bacterium. RNAcentral describes it as "bacterial SSU rRNA". It matches the Rfam family "Bacterial small subunit ribosomal RNA", at positions 8 to 796 of the family's 1533-position model. The record is from RNAcentral.
AGAGUUUGAUCCUGGCUCAGAGCGAACGCUGGCGGCAGGCCUAAUACAUGCAAGUCGAGCGCACCUUCGGGUGAGCGGCGGACGGGUGAGUAACGCGUGGGAAUGUGCCCUUUGGUACGGAACAACUGAGGGAAACUUCAGCUAAUACCGUAUGUGCCCUUCGGGGGAAAGAUUUAUCGCCAUUGGAGCAGCCCGCGUUGGAUUAGGUAGUUGGUAGGGUAAAGGCCUACCAAGCCUACGAUCCAUAGCUGGUCUGAGAGGAUGAUCAGCCACACUGGGACUGAGACACGGCCCAGACUCCUACGGGAGGCAGCAGUAGGGAAUCUUGCGCAAUGGGCGAAAGCCUGACGCAGCCAUGCCGCGUGAAUGAUGAAGGUCUUAGGAUUGUAAAAUUCUUUCACCGGGGAAGAUAAUGACGGUACCCGGAGAAGAAGCCCCGGCUAACUUCGUGCCAGCAGCCGCGGUAAUACGAAGGGGGCUAGCGUUGCUCGGAAUUACUGGGCGUAAAGGGCGCGUAGGCGGAUAUUUAAGUCGGGGGUGAAAGCCCAGGGCUCAACCCUGGAAUAGCCUUCGAUACUGGAUAUCUUGAGUUCGGGAGAGGUGAGUGGAACUCCGAGUGUAGAGGUGAAAUUCGUAGAUAUUCGGAAGAACACCAGUGGCGAAGGCGACUCACUGGCCCGAUACUGACGCUGAGGCGCGAAAGCGUGGGGAGCAAACAGGAUUAGAUACCCUAGUAGUCC